AAUACAUGCAAGUCGAACGAAGCACUUCAGCAGAUCCCUCGGGUGAAGCCGGUUGUGACUAGUGGCGGACGGGUGAGUAACGCGUGGGUAACCUGCCUUAUACAGGGGGAUAACAGCUGGAAACGACUGCUAAUACCCCAUAAGCGCACGGCACCGCAUGAUGCAGUGUGAAAAGAUUUAUCGGUAUAAGAUGGACCCCGCGUCUGAUUAGUUAGUUGGCGGGGUAACGGCCCACCAAGACCGCGAUCAGUAGCCGACUUGAGAGAGUGAUCGGCCACAUUGGGACUGAGACACGGCCCAGACUCCUACGGGAGGCAGCAGUAGGGAAUAUUGCACAAUGGGGGAAACCCUGAUGCAGCGAACCGCCGCGUGAGUGAUUGAAGUAUUUCGGUAUGUAAAGCUCUAUCAGCAGGGAAGAUAAUGACGGUACCUGACUAAGAAGCCCCGGCUAACUACGUGCCAGCAGCUGC
RNAcentral lists this ribosomal RNA (470 nucleotides) under uncultured bacterium. RNAcentral describes it as "bacterial SSU rRNA". It matches the Rfam family "Bacterial small subunit ribosomal RNA", at positions 50 to 518 of the family's 1533-position model. The record is from RNAcentral.